Molecule: ribosomal RNA, 253 nt
Filed under: uncultured bacterium
Lineage: Bacteria
Description: partial 16S ribosomal RNA
Rfam family: Bacterial small subunit ribosomal RNA
Source: RNAcentral
UACGGAGGGUGCGAGCGUUAUCCGGAAUUACUGGGUUUAAAGGGUGCGUAGGCGGCUUGGUAAGUCAGGAGUGAAAGUUUGCGGCUCAACCGUAAAAUUGCUUUUGAUACUGCCAGGCUAGAAUUAGGAUGAGGUCAGCGGAAUGUGGCAUGUAGCGGUGAAAUGCAUAGAUAUGCCAUAGAACACCAAUUGCGAAGGCAGCUUACUAGACUUGUGUUGACGCUGAGGCACGAAAGCGUGGGGAGCGAACAGG